This 45-nucleotide non-coding RNA is filed under the name Schistosoma mattheei. The record is from RNAcentral. Lineage: Eukaryota; Metazoa; Platyhelminthes; Trematoda; Strigeidida; Schistosomatidae.
GUUCAGCCGACGAGUUCCAAGUAGGACGAAAUGUGCGUCCUGGAU